RNAcentral lists this ribosomal RNA (508 nucleotides) under uncultured bacterium. RNAcentral's name for it is "partial 16S ribosomal RNA". It matches the Rfam family "Bacterial small subunit ribosomal RNA", at positions 30 to 523 of the family's 1533-position model. The record is from RNAcentral.
AUUGAACGCUGGCGGCAUGCCUUACACAUGCAAGUCGAACGGCAGCGUGGGAGCAUCUUGCCUUUCCCGCCGGCGAGACGGGAACGUGAGAUUAGUACAUCGGAACUUGCCCUGUAGUAGACGAUUACUAGUCGUAAGAAUAGCUACUACCGUAUACUACCUGAGGGUGAAAGUGGGGAACCGCAAGGCCUCAUGCUAUAGGAGCUACCGAUUUCUGAUUAGCUAGUUGGUAGGGUAAAGGCAUACCAAGGCGACGAUCAGUAGCUGGUCUGAGAGGACGAUCAGCCACACGGGGACUGAGACUAGGCCCAGACUCCUACGGGAGGCAGAAGUGGGGAAUUUUGGACAAUGGGCGAAAGCCUGAUCCAGCAAUGCCGCGUGUGUGAAGAAGGCCUUCGGGUUGUAAAGCGCUUUUGUCCGGAAAGAAACGGUACUGGUUAAAACCCUUGGUGAAUGACGGUACCGGAAGAAUAAGGACCGGCUAACUACGUGCCAGCCGCCGCCGUAA